RNAcentral lists this ribosomal RNA (99 nucleotides) under Anaerosalibacter bizertensis. RNAcentral describes it as "partial 16S ribosomal RNA". It matches the Rfam family "Bacterial small subunit ribosomal RNA", at positions 1 to 94 of the family's 1533-position model. The record is from RNAcentral. Lineage: Bacteria; Bacillati; Bacillota; Tissierellia; Tissierellales; Sporanaerobacteraceae.
UUUAUUAUGAGAGUUUGAUCCUGGCUCAGGAUGAACGCUGGCGGCGUGCCUAACACAUGCAAGUCGAGCGAAGGAUAUAUAGUGAAAUCUUCGGACUGA